UUAUCUUCUCAAUCUUCUUCUCUCCACCGCACCCCAAAAUUGAAACUCGAAAACUAAAAAAAACAAAAAAAACAGAAGAAAUCACUUGAACCAUUGCUCUUAAUCCCAACCCCUUUCUCCAUCGUUUUCGUCUCUCCACAAAAUCACCAAGUUCUCCAAUAAACCCUAUUCGAAAUCUGUAACCACAGACUUGAGCAAAGAGGAAGAAAUCCAUUCUUCUUGAACCAUUUUCUUCUUUUCAUCUUUGCGGUUAAGGGAUUUUGAUUUCAGGGUUUGUUGUUGAGGUUUUUCUCCUUUUAUGCAGCAGAGAGGGUUCACUGUUAUAGUAUUUCUUCGUCUCUACAACAAAAAGGGGUAGCUGUGAAGGUCUUUCUCCAUCUCGUACAAAAAGGGCAACAAGAUGAUAAACUGGAUGAGUUAAGUGAAAUUAUGCAAAGAACUUGAGGUGUGGGGCUCCCUUUACACAAAGAAAUUACAUAGCAGGAUGGAAAAGUAGAUGAAAUUAUGUGCGACUUUGAUGAGCCUGAGACUCUUACCAACUGGAUUACACCUUGGUGAAGUUAAGAAUAUGCUUAUUCAAGGUGAAGCUGGUGCUGUUUAUAUCUUCUAGGUUGAGGGAAGUUGAUCUUGAUAUUCAAAUGUUCUCUGAAAUGGGUAUCAUUGAUGUAUUGAGUUCAAAUUUUGAUUCCAUUAUUUUUAUUGAUAUUUCCAGUUUGUUUAUAUCUUCUAGGUUGAAUUUUAACGGGUUAUAUGCUAUUUUCAGGGAUUGAAUAAUUGCUGAUGGAUUUAAUAUUGGUGGCGAAGUGUGUAAGUGGUGUUCGUGAUGCUGAUGGUGCUGUUAGCGGUAGUGUUGGAGGUGCAUGUGUUGGUAUUGCUGCUACCAAAAGGUGGUGGUGGUAUCUUAAUAAUAACACCAACUUUGAUGUAAAUGAUGAAUCUUGCAGAUAGGUUAAGUAAUUAUGGAUUUGUUGCUUUGAUUACUGAGGUAUAUAUUGGUUUGUUUCUAACUGGCAACAAGUACACCUUAGGAUGAUGAUGAUAAAAAGAUGAUCUGAAAAUGAGAUUUCGUUUUUUGUUAGCUGUUUUUGGAAGUGUGGAGUUUCCCUUAAAUGUUCAGCAUUGUGUUAAUAUUGAUUGGUUAAUUGUUUUAUUUUCAUUGUUGGUUACAGCUUAAGGCUGCUGGACAUACGGAUUGCAUUAAAGUCUAUAACAAGUGUAGAUGUGCGCAGAGGGGAAAACCAAUAAGAGAGCCUGGAUUUGCCUUAUUAACCGGGAGAAAACAAAGUAUAAAACCUCUAAGUACCUUUUUGAUGAUUGUUUGACCUACAAAGACAUUAUGCAACUGCAGAAGUAUAAUACAAAGAAAAAGGUUAAGAUAGGUGGAAAGUAUGAAGAAAAUAUCGAGGCUUCCGAUGAAGACUACUCUGUUGAACCCGGUAAAAGUUGAAGGUCCUUUUGUGCCCUUCCUGAUGUUGGUAAUUUACAAAAAACUAUAGGAUACUGUAUCUUUAGUGCCCUGUGCUCUGAAGGGUGGCAUCUUUUCUGUUGUAAUUAGCGCAGUUGAGGUCUCGUUUCUACUUUGGAUACAGAUUGUUGCCUGGUGAUGGGGUUUAUACAGAAACAGAUGAAUUGGGCAAGAUUAAUGGAAUCGACUUCUGCAACAUGUUUAAAAUGGUUCAGCAAAUCUACUUCAAAGUGAUAUCCUCCAAUGCAUUUGAACUUUAUAAGACUAAUUUUUCAAUUAUUCUUUGUGAUGCUUGCUGGAUGCAGGGCUGGGAUUACACCUGUUCAGAAAAGGAGAUUUACUGAAAAGAAGAAAGAUAUGAAGUGGCAGAAGCAGGGUUACAACGCUCAGUAAUUUAGCUUUUGUGCUUAUGCCAAUGCACGAAUGAAGGUUGUGAAUCCUUCCACAGAAUAUUACGAGUACUAAAGUGUUUGGUGGCGGGGCUGGGUGGUAUCGGUAUCAAUUUGUUGGAGAUAGACUACUCUGAACCCCCUCGACUGGAUUUGGAAUAAUGUGGAGAGUAGGUGGGACAGCCUCCAAUCCUAGAUUUAGAAGAAGACGCAGCAAGGCUAUGGAGCUUCACUGCCGAUAGUUAUAGUAUAUUUCUCAUAGAAUUAUUGGUGCUUCAUCUAUUUCUUUCCCUGUCACUUUUGGUAAGAAUUACUCGAUCCAGGUUUAUUUCUUAUGUUAGUGCAGCCUUUCAUCUUAACUGCUGGUGAGUAAUCUAUGUUUUGACGUUUGUUUGUAUACUGGAAUAUGAUUUAUUGAUUUGUUUAUUUUUUUUUGAAGUUACUGGUGUCCUGCUUUACAAGAAGGCCGCACAUGAAGAUUACUUCACAAGUAUGUCUUUCUAUCUAUUCCUAUAAAUAUGAUUACUUCACAAGUAUGUCUCUCUAUCUAUUCCUAUAAAUAUGAUUCAUUGAUGUUUCAUAUUAUCAGUUGAUGAAUGAUAAAGUUGCCUAAAUCUCUGUUUUUUUUCCGGUUUCCCUCAGUGAUAAAGUUUUCCAAAUAUCCAUUUCAAGCUUUGGUAAUGUGCAUGACAUGGUUAUUGUUUUUAUAAGCAUUUUCUUGAGUAUUGUGACCUCCCCACAGUAAUCAGCUGAUAGCCGAACUUAUUUUUACUGUGCAGGUACACCAUUAUGAAGUAUGGGAUAAGUUCUAAAUCAUCAUCAGACUUUAUCAUUUUGUUGUUUAAUCAAUAGUUUACUAGUUCAUCGUUUUGUAACCAAAUUCUAGAACUUAGUUACCUUUCUUGUAAGAUUUACAUUGGUCAGAACUCCAAAGAUUAUAAUGAUUUUUGUGUAAUUUGAACCCAAUGAAUCAAUGAAUGUUAAAUUGAACAA
This is a long non-coding RNA of Papaver somniferum (opium poppy), 2847 nucleotides long. RefSeq lists it as uncharacterized. The transcript is spliced from 12 exons. The record is from RefSeq and is a predicted model, not a curated record. NCBI's taxonomy places the organism in Eukaryota, Viridiplantae, Streptophyta, Magnoliopsida, Ranunculales, Papaveraceae.